UUUUUUAGACAAAUUGUAGUUGAUGGGGUUGAGGUUAUUAAAUGUUUAUAUUGGUAUUGACCGGAAUAAGUGGUCCACUUAGCAACUGGAAAAAGUGCCUUCCAAAUCCUAUAGCAACAAGUAUUAAAGUAGUUUGACACGAAGUGAGAAAUUAUAGAAUUAUGAAGAACUAGGAUAAUGAAAUUAUAUGGAAGCUAACAUCUACAGGUAAGUACACUAUAGCAAGUGCUUGAAAGGCAAUUAGAACAUCUAGUAAUAGAGUAACUUGGUACAAGCUUAUUUAAGGAAGAUUUUUUCUCUUGAGACAUAGUUUUAUUCCCUGGCUUGCUCUGCAAAAUAAGCUUGUUGUUAAAUGCAGACUAAAGAAGUAAAACUUGUACAGGAUGAACAGUGCCCUUUUUUAUUAUAAUGCACAGGAAUACAAACUAUUUGUUUUUUAAUGUACCUUCUCUAGUAGGGUUUGAAGGGUUAUAUUGCAAAAAUGUGUCAUUUUUAGAGUUGAGUUGGGUUGGGUUGGAGGAGGAAAAUGAGCUAGUUUACAAGGAAAACUAGUGGUAAAAGUGGGUUAGUAGCUUGUAAAAGAAUGACGUGUAGUGCCACUAAUUUAUCAUUUGAAUGGAGCAAAGGAGUUUUUUUUUUUAACAAAUUGUAGUUGAUGGGGUUGAGGUUAUUAAAUGUUCAUACUGGUAUUGACUGGAACAAGUGGUUCAGCAACUAGAACAAGUGGUCUAGCAACUGGAACAAGUGCCUACCAAAUCCUAUAGAUGCAAGUAUUGAAGUAGUUUGACAGGAAGUGAGAAAUUAUAAAAUUAUGGAGAACUAGAAUAAUGAAAUUAUAUGGAAGCUAACAUCUACAGGUCAGUACACCAUAGCAAGUGCUUGAAAGGCAAUUAGAACAUCUAGUAGUAGAGUAACUUAAUACAAGCUUAUUUAAGGAAGAUUUUUUAUCUUGAGACAGUUUUAUUCCGUGGCUUGCUCUGCAAAAUAAGCUUGUUGUUAAAUGCAGAUUAAAGAAAUAAAACUUGUAGAUGAUGAACAAUGCCCUUUUUAUCAUAAUGCACAGGAAUCUGCAGAGUAUUUGUUUUUUAAUGUACCUUCUCUAGUAAAAUUUGAAAGGUUAUGUUGCAAAAAUAUACCAUUUUUAGAGUUUGGUCGGGUUGAAGGAGAAAACUGAGCUAGUUUACAAGGAAAACUAGUAGUAAAAGUGAGUUGGUAGCUUGUAGAAGAAUGACAUUUAAUGCCACUAUUUAUAUCAUUUGGAUGGAGCGAAAUGGAUUUUUUUUUAUAAACAAAUUGUAGGUGAUGGGGUUGAGGUUAUUAAAUGUUCAUACUGGUAUUGACUAGAACAAGUCGUCCAGCAACUGAGCUAUGGGUUGAAUUACUUUUAGGCUUAGUUGUUGCUAUAUGUGGGAUGAUGGAGAUGUUGGUUUGCUUCCUUGGGGAUGCUUUGAUGUAGCAGAGCUAUAAUACAGUUUGGGGUGGCUGCUGUAGGUGAUAGGUGUGUAUUUCAGUUAAUAUUAAUGACUUUGUUUGUUGGGAGUGUCUGCAUUUUUUUUUUUCAAGGUUGGGGUGUGCAAUGGAUUUGCUCUUGUAUCGCACAAAAUUGCUACUUAAAAAUAGUUGCUGCUGCAGAUUUGCUCUGAUGUGAUCUGUAGAUGUUGAUUCAUUAUUGGUAUUGUUGGGUGGUGCAAAAUAGAAUUGUUAUUGUGCUGCAAAAAAUGGAUGCUGCAGCAGAUUGCCUUUGUUGUAGUGUUUGGAUAUUGGUUCAUUACUGCUAUGGUUUGUACUUGUGCUAAAUAUGUUGGUUUUAGCAGCUGAAUUGAGUAGGCAAUGUUAAUUGUAAUUGGGGUUGAUUACUGCGUUAUGAAUAUCAAAUUAUUUAAAAGUAACCUAAAAAUAAAAAUAAAAAUCAUCAAAAUACAUUUUCGUGAAUACACGGAAGUUUGUUUGCUCAAUUAGAC
RNAcentral lists this long non-coding RNA (1961 nucleotides) under Manihot esculenta (cassava). Its description in RNAcentral is "long non-coding RNA (MESC_LNC010955)". The record is from RNAcentral. Lineage: Eukaryota; Viridiplantae; Streptophyta; Magnoliopsida; Malpighiales; Euphorbiaceae.